AGUGAACGCUGGCGGUAGGCCUAACACAUGCAAGUCGAACGGCAGCACAGUAAGAGCUUGCUCUUACGAGUGGCGAGUGGCGGACGGGUGAGGAAUACAUCGGAAUCUACUUUUUCGUGGGUGAUAACGUAGGGAAACUUACGCUAAUACCGCAUACGACCUACGGGUGAAAGCAGGGGAUCUUCGGACCUUGCGCGAUUGAAUGAGCCGAUGUCGGAUUAGCUAGUUGGCGGGGUAAAGGCCCACCAAGGCGACGAUCCGUAGCUGGUCUGAGAGGAUGAUCAGCCACACUGGAACUGAGACACGGUCCAGACUCCUACGGGAGGCAGCAGUGGGGAAUAUUGGACAAUGGGCGCAAGCCUGAUCCAGCCAUACCGCGUGGGUGAAGAAGGCCUUCGGGUUGUAAAGCCCUUUUGUUGGGAAAGAAAAGCAGCAGGUUAAUACCCCGCUGUUCUGACGGUACCCAAAGAAUAAGCACCGGCUAACUUCGUG
RNAcentral lists this ribosomal RNA (492 nucleotides) under uncultured bacterium. RNAcentral's name for it is "partial 16S ribosomal RNA". It matches the Rfam family "Bacterial small subunit ribosomal RNA", at positions 29 to 507 of the family's 1533-position model. The record is from RNAcentral.